This 584-nucleotide ribosomal RNA is filed under the name Colletotrichum sp. EXMY-22. Its description in RNAcentral is "eukaryotic LSU rRNA". The stretch from base 213 to 366 matches the Rfam family "5.8S ribosomal RNA". The record is from RNAcentral. Lineage: Eukaryota; Fungi; Ascomycota; Sordariomycetes; Glomerellales; Glomerellaceae.
UCCGUAGGUGAACCUGCGGAGGGAUCAUUACUGAGUUACCGCUCUAUAACCCUUUGUGAACAUACCUAACCGUUGCUUCGGCGGGCAGGGGAAGCCCCUCGCGGGCCUCCCCUCCCGGCGCCGGCCCCCACCACGGGGACGGGGCGCCCGCCGGAGGAAACCAAACUCUAUUUACACGACGUCUCUUCUGAGUGGCACAAGCAAAUAAUUAAAACUUUUAACAACGGAUCUCUUGGUUCUGGCAUCGAUGAAGAACGCAGCGAAAUGCGAUAAGUAAUGUGAAUUGCAGAAUUCAGUGAAUCAUCGAAUCUUUGAACGCACAUUGCGCUCGCCAGCAUUCUGGCGAGCAUGCCUGUUCGAGCGUCAUUUCAACCCUCAAGCACCGCUUGGUUUUGGGGCCCCACGGCACACGUGGGCCCUUAAAGGUAGUGGCGGACCCUCCCGGAGCCUCCUUUGCGUAGUAACUAACGUCUCGCACUGGGAUUCGGAGGGACUCUUGCCGUAAAACCCCCCAAUUUUUUACAGGUUGACCUCGGAUCAGGUAGGAAUACCCGCUGAACUUAAGCAUAUCAAUAAGCGGAGGA